This 320-nucleotide unclassified non-coding RNA is filed under the name Hevea brasiliensis (rubber tree). The record is from RNAcentral. Lineage: Eukaryota; Viridiplantae; Streptophyta; Magnoliopsida; Malpighiales; Euphorbiaceae.
UAUAAUUGACAUAAUCAAGUCACAGCUUGAAGAAGUGUGCCCUGGCGUUGUUUCUUGUGCUGACUUUGUUGUUUUAGCAUCCAGAGAAGGUGUUGUUCAGAUUGGUAUCUCAGUGCCUCCCUCCGUCCCUCUCUCAGUUUCUCACUGAAUAUGUGAAUUUCAGGCCGGUGGUCCAUUCUAUCCAUUAUAACCGGGCAGAAGAGAUGGUUUUCUCUCUUUCCCAGAUAUACGUGCUUCCUUCACUCCUAACCGAUUUAUCUGAAACCCUUGUCUCUUUUGCAUCUAGGGUUUUGAUGAAAGAGAAACUGUCAGUCUCAUGG